AAAAGAUCGAAUGGGGAGAUUCAUCGUCAGCGUGGCUGGCUUCCGUGCGGUUCGCGAUGGCCGGGACCUCGGUCCCGUGUCACGCGUCCGCCGCGGUAUGCCCGGCUGCGUCGGCGUGCACUUCUCCCCUAGUAGGACGUCGCGACCCGUUGGGUGUCGGACCGAUGGCCGUUUGGUCGCCUGUCUCGUCGCGUUUACGCGUGCACGUGGCAGACCGAAAUGGUCGAGCGUCCGGCUGCCCGGCGGUAUAGAACGCUAUUGAACGGUAAUGAGCCGCAUUAAGUGCGUUCAGGCUCGUCGGCAGGCUCGUCUCGCCCGGAUUUACGGACCUAGCGCCGUUGCCGGGUGCUUGGCGUGGCUGUUAGUCGGCGAUGUCCUCGGACUGGCUCUAAAAUUCGAAAGGAUUACCGGUCGGCGACGCU
Molecule: ribosomal RNA, 422 nt
Filed under: Entedon aff. perturbatus AG-2011
Lineage: Eukaryota; Metazoa; Arthropoda; Insecta; Hymenoptera; Eulophidae
Description: eukaryotic LSU rRNA
Source: RNAcentral